UACAGAGGGGGCAAGCGUUGUUCGGAAUUACUGGGCGUAAAGGGCGCGUAGGCGGCCCGCUAAGUCGAACGUGAAAUCCCCGAGCUCAACUCGGGAACUGCGUCCGAUACUGGUGGGCUUGAAUCCGGGAGAGGGAUGCGGAAUUCCUGGUGUAGCGGUGAAAUGCGUAGAGAUCAGGAAGAACACCGGUGGCGAAGGCGCUCUGCUAGGCCGUAACCGACACUGAGGGACGAAAGCCAGGGGAGCAAACAGG
Molecule: ribosomal RNA, 253 nt
Filed under: uncultured bacterium
Lineage: Bacteria
Description: partial 16S ribosomal RNA
Rfam family: Bacterial small subunit ribosomal RNA
Source: RNAcentral